RNAcentral lists this unclassified non-coding RNA (253 nucleotides) under uncultured Parcubacteria group bacterium. RNAcentral's name for it is "contains 16S-23S intergenic spacer region". It matches the Rfam family "Bacterial small subunit ribosomal RNA", at positions 524 to 776 of the family's 1533-position model. The record is from RNAcentral.
UACGAAAGCCCCAAGCGUUAUCCGGAAUCACUGGGCGUAAAGGGUGCGUAGGCGGCUGUAUUAGUCGUGUGUGAAAGACCGAGGCUUAACUUCGGGACCGCAUGCGAAACGGUACAGCUAGAGUGCGAGAGAGGCAUAUGGAACUCUCGGUGUAGGGGUGAAAUCCGUUGAUAUCGAGGGGAACACCAAAAGCGAAGGCAAUAUGCUGGCUCGACACUGACGCUGAGGCACGAAACCUUGGGUAGCGAAUGGG